This 410-nucleotide ribosomal RNA is filed under the name uncultured eukaryote. Its description in RNAcentral is "SSU rRNA". It matches the Rfam family "Eukaryotic small subunit ribosomal RNA", at positions 592 to 1010 of the family's 1831-position model. The record is from RNAcentral.
CAAUAGCGUAUAUUAAAAGUUGUUGCAGUUAAAAAAGCUCGUAGUUGGACCUCUGGGAGGGACCCAAUGUCCGCCGUGUGCGUGCGCAGCGGGGCCCUUCCAUCCUUCUGUUAACGUUUCUCGGUAUUCGCUUACUGGUUUCGGGCUCAGAUAUUUUUACCUUGAGAAAAUUAGAGUGUUUCAGGCAGGCUAGGCCGGAAUACAUUAGCAUGGAAUAAUGGAAUAGGACUACGGUCUCUUUGUUGGUUUGAGGGACUGCAGUAAUGAUUAAUAGGGAUAGUUGGGGGGCAUUAGUAUUUAAUUGUCAGAGGUGGAAUUCUCGGAUUUGUUAAAGACUAACUUAUGCGAAAGCAUUUGCCAAGGAUGUUUUCAUUAAUCAAGAACGAAAGUUAGGGGAUCAAAGACGAUUA